Molecule: non-coding RNA, 54 nt
Organism: Salmo salar (Atlantic salmon)
Lineage: Eukaryota; Metazoa; Chordata; Actinopteri; Salmoniformes; Salmonidae
Source: Rfam
UGCACUCACUACUGUAAGUCGCUCUGGAUAAGAGCGUCUGCUAAAUGACCAAAA